This 468-nucleotide ribosomal RNA is filed under the name uncultured bacterium. RNAcentral's name for it is "partial 16S ribosomal RNA". It matches the Rfam family "Bacterial small subunit ribosomal RNA", at positions 28 to 507 of the family's 1533-position model. The record is from RNAcentral.
GACGAACGCUGGCGGCGUGCUUAACACAUGCAAGUCGAACGGAAAGGCCCUGCUUUUGUGGGGUGCUCGAGUGGCGAACGGGUGAGUAACACGUGAGUAACCUGCCCUUGACUUUGGGAUAACUUCAGGAAACUGGGGCUAAUACCGGAUAGGAGCUCCUGCUGCAUGGUGGGGGUUGGAAAGUUUCGGCGGUUGGGGAUGGACUCGCGGCUUAUCAGCUUGUUGGUGGGGUAGUGGCUUACCAAGGCUUUGACGGGUAGCCGGCCUGAGAGGGUGACCGGCCACAUUGGGACUGAGAUACGGCCCAGACUCCUACGGGAGGCAGCAGUGGGGAAUAUUGAACAAUGGGCGGAAGCCUGAUGCAGCAACGCCGCGUGCGGGAUGACGGCCUUCGGGUUGUAGACCGCUUUCGCCUGUGGCGAAGCGUGAGUGACGGUAAUGGGUAAAGAAGAACCGGCUAACUACGUG